UGAGGAAUAUUGGUCAAUGGGCGAGAGCCUGAACCAGCCAAGUAGCGUGCAGGAUGACGGCCCUAUGGGUUGUAAACUGCUUUUAUGUGGGGAUAAAGUGCGUGACGUGUCAUGCAUUGCAGGUACCACAUGAAUAAGGACCGGCUAAUUCCGUGCCAGCAGCCGCGGUAAUACGGAAGGUCCGGGCGUUAUCCGGAUUUAUUGGGUUUAAAGGGAGCGUAGGCUGUCUAUUAAGCGUGUUGUGAAAUAUACCGGCUCAACCGGUGGCUUGCAGCGCGAACUGGUCGACUUGAGUAUGCAGGAAGUAGGCGGAAUUCAUGGUGUAGCGGUGAAAUGCUUAGAUAUCAUGACGAACUCCGAUGUCGCAGGCAGCUUACUGUAGCAUAACUGACGCUGAUGCUCGAAAGUGCGGGUAUCAAACAGG
This 424-nucleotide ribosomal RNA is filed under the name Fusobacteriota bacterium. Its description in RNAcentral is "Fusobacteria bacterium partial 16S ribosomal RNA". It matches the Rfam family "Bacterial small subunit ribosomal RNA", at positions 355 to 776 of the family's 1533-position model. Lineage: Bacteria; Fusobacteriati; Fusobacteriota. The record is from RNAcentral.